CAAAAACAUGUUUUUUAGAAAAAAAAAUUAAAAAUCGAGCCUGCCCACUGAAUAUUGAAGGGCUGCAGUAUAUUGACUGUACAAAGGUAGCAUAAUCAUUAGUUUCUUAAUUGGGAACUGGAAUGAAUGGUUUGACGAAAUAUUGGCUGUCUACUAAAUAAAAAAUUGAAUUUUACUUUUAAGUUAAAAGGCUUAAAUGCAUUUUGGGGACGAGAAGACCCUAUAGAUCUUUAUAUUUAAUUAAUUAAUAUACUAGUAUUGAAAAGUUAAGUUUUAUUUAGUGAGUAUUGUGUUGGGGUGACAUGGGAAUUUAUAAACUUCUUAGUAAUUUUAACUUUAAUUGAAGAAUAAAGAAUCCUUUAAUAAGGAAAAAAGAUUAAGAUACCUUAGGGAUAACAGCGUAAUUUUAUUAGAAAGUUCAUAUUAAUAAUGAAGUUUGCGACCUCGAUGUUGGAUUAAGAUUAUUAACUGGUGCAGAAGUUAGUUAAAUAAGUCUGUUCGACCAUUAAAUUCU
This 514-nucleotide ribosomal RNA is filed under the name Dianemobius kimurae. Its description in RNAcentral is "partial 16S ribosomal RNA". It matches the Rfam family "Archaeal large subunit ribosomal RNA", at positions 1900 to 2665 of the family's 2987-position model. Lineage: Eukaryota; Metazoa; Arthropoda; Insecta; Orthoptera; Trigonidiidae. The record is from RNAcentral.